Molecule: unclassified non-coding RNA, 187 nt
Filed under: uncultured Penicillium
Lineage: Eukaryota; Fungi; Ascomycota; Eurotiomycetes; Eurotiales; Aspergillaceae
Description: sequence contains ITS1
Source: RNAcentral
CCGAGUGAGGGUCCCUUGCGGGCCCAACCUCCCACCCGUGUUUAACUGUACCGUGUUGCUUCGGCGGGCCCACUGGGGGCCCCCUGGUCGCCUGGGGGCGUGAAACCCCCCGGGCCCGCGCCCGCCGGAGACCCCAUUGAACCCUGAGUGAAUCGAGUGUCAGUCUGAGUGUGAUUUUUAAUCAUUA